AUUGAACGCUGGCGGCAUGCUUUACACAUGCAAGUCGAACGGUAACAGGCCUUCGGGUGCUGACGAGUGGCGAACGGGUGAGUAAUGCAUCGGAACGUGCCCAGAGGUGGGGGAUAACGCAGCGAAAGCUGUGCUAAUACCGCAUGUGAUCUGAGGAUGAAAGCGGGGGACCAGGCAGCAAUGUUUGGCCUCGCGCCUUUGGAGCGGCCGAUGUCAGAUUAGGUAGUUGGUGGGGUAAAGGCCUACCAAGCCGACGAUCUGUAGCUGGUCUGAGAGGACGACGAGCCACACUGGGACUGAGACACGGCCCAGACUCCUACGGGAGGCAGCAGUGGGGAAUUUUGGACAAUGGGCGCAAGCCUGAUCCAGCAAUGCCGCGUGCGGGAAGAAGGCCUUCGGGUUGUAAACCGCUUUUGUACGGAACGAAAAGGCUCUGGCUAAUACCUGGUGCUGAUGACGGUACCGUAAGAAUAAGCACCGGCUAACUACGUG
RNAcentral lists this ribosomal RNA (492 nucleotides) under uncultured bacterium. RNAcentral's name for it is "partial 16S ribosomal RNA". It matches the Rfam family "Bacterial small subunit ribosomal RNA", at positions 30 to 507 of the family's 1533-position model. The record is from RNAcentral.